CCCUUAGAUGUCCUGGGCCGCACGCGCGUUACACUGAUGCAUUCAACGAGCUUAUAACCUUGGCCGAGAGGCCUGGGCAAUCUUGUUAACGUGCAUCGUGAUAGGGAUAGAUUAUUGAAAUUAUUAAUCUUGAACGAGGAAUUCCUAGUAAACGCAGAUCAUCAAUCUGCAUUGAUUACGUCCCUGCCCUUUGUACACACCGCCCGUCGCACCUACCGAUUGGGUGUGCUGGUGAAAUGUUCGGAUCGGCCGUUUGUCGCGGUUUCCGCGGCUCGUGGCUGAGAAGUUCAUUAAACCCUCCCACCUAGAGGAAGGAGAAGUCGUAACA
Molecule: ribosomal RNA, 328 nt
Filed under: uncultured eukaryote
Lineage: Eukaryota
Description: partial 18S ribosomal RNA
Rfam family: Eukaryotic small subunit ribosomal RNA
Source: RNAcentral